RNAcentral lists this ribosomal RNA (254 nucleotides) under uncultured bacterium. RNAcentral describes it as "partial 16S ribosomal RNA". It matches the Rfam family "Bacterial small subunit ribosomal RNA", at positions 524 to 776 of the family's 1533-position model. The record is from RNAcentral.
UACAGAGGUCUCAAGCGUUGUUCGGAUUCAUUGGGCGUAAAGGGUGCGUAGGUGGCGCGCUAAGUCAGGUGUGAAAUUUCGGAGCUUAACUCCGAAACUGCAUUUGAUACUGGCGUGCUUGAGGACUGGAGAGGAGACUGGAAUUCACGGUGUAGCAGUGAAAUGCGUAGAGAUCGUGAGGAAGACCAGUGGCGAAGGCGGGUCGUCUGGACAGUUCCUGACACUGAGGCACGAAGGCCAGGGGAGCAAACAGG